Genlisea aurea is the source of this 1689-nucleotide non-coding RNA. The record is from Rfam. Lineage: Eukaryota; Viridiplantae; Streptophyta; Magnoliopsida; Lamiales; Lentibulariaceae.
AUUAUUUUGAGUUUGAUCCUGGCUCAGAGUGAAUGCUAUUAACAUGCUUUACACAUGCGAGUUAAACGAAUACGGUAAUAAUUUACUUUAUUAGUAACGAACGGGUGCGUAAUAGUAGGUAUUUAAUGUGGAUAUUUUGGAUAAAAAGUAUUAGUGCCGCUAGGUGCUUAGUUUUAAACCGAAAUAAAAAGCGCUAGUUGGCUAUAUUUUUCCUGUUAUAGCUGGUGGUGCUUGAAAAAUUAAUUGUAUGCAUAUUAGACUUACCAAGAUCAGGUAGUUGGUAAAGGGAUAGCUUACCAAGCCCGAGACCUUUAGCUAGUUUGAAAAAAUGUAUAGCCACAUCGGGACUGUAACAAGGCCCGAAUUUCUUAGGGAGGCAGCAGUGGGGAAUACUGGACAAUGAGUUAACGCUUGAUCCGGCAAUGUUAAACGAAUGACGUGAAAGUAAUGAGCUGUAAAGUUCAUCCAACUAAUUUGUAUAUAAUGAAUGAAUUAGUAAAGCCCCGACUAACUUCGUGCCAGCAGUCGCGGUAAUACGGAGGGGGCAAGUGUUACUCAUCAUGACUAGGCGUAAAGGGUGCUAAGACCGCUAAAGGUUGCUUUGAUUAAAAUUCCAAUUGAAUUAUUGGAUGGUUAUCAGUUUAAACAAUUUAGCUAGAGUUGGUUGGAGAAUAGAAUUACUAGUUUUUGAGGGGUAGAAUCCGUCGAGAAGAUUAGGAGGAACGAAGGCGAAAGCAACUAUUUAUGAUUUACUGACGUUGAUACACUAAAGCGUGGGGAGCAAACAGGAUUAGAUACCCUGGUAGUCCACGCCCUGACCUAUAAGUGUGAAAAUUUAUUUUGGCCCCUAAGUAUUAUUUACGGGCAUCAUGACACAGCUGUUGUUUGAUUGAAAAAUUUAUUUUAGCUAACGUGAAAGCACUUCGCCUGGGGACUACGGCCGCAAGGUUGAAACUCAAAGGAAUUGACGGAGGACCACACAAGCGGUGGAGCAUGUGGCUUAAUGCGUAAUAACGCGCAAAACCUUACCAGUUUUUGAAUGUUAGAUGAUUUACUAUAAAAUAGUACAAAAGUUAUUUCCACUAUUCUUUGAGUUUAUAAAAUAAUUUGUAGCACAGGAGCUGCAUGGCUGUCGUCAGUUCGUGCCGUGAGGUGUUAGGUUCAGUCCAUAAACGAACGCAACCCCAUUUUCUAGUUAUGCGCAGUUACUUUAGCAAAAUAUUAUAUUUUGUUUUACUCGUAGCACUUUGCCAGUUAGGAAGACCGUCAUUGAAAGAUGAAGGAAGUAGGGAAGAUGUCAAGUCAGUAUGGCCUCGAUAAACUGGGCUGCCGCACAUGCUACAAUGCUUAUUACAGCGCGGUGCAAAGAUGUGAGUCUGAGCAAAUCGCUAAAAAUCAGCUUAGUUCAGAUUAUUCUCUGCAACUCGGGAAUAUGAAGGCGGAAUCGCUAGUAAUCGCGGAUCAGCACGCCGCGGUGAACAGGAGUCUGGUCCUAGUACAUACCGCCCGUCACGCCACGAAAAUUUGUUUUGUUGGAAGUUUUUUGAAAAUUGGUUUGCUAUAAAAUAAUUUUUUAUUAGUUAAUUUUAUUCUGAAUUGAGGUGUAGUUAGACAAUAACAAGAUAAGUAAUUAGGGUGAAGUCGUAACAGGGUAGUCGUAGGGGAACCUGUGGCUGGGUUAUUCAACAG